This 86-nucleotide transfer RNA is filed under the name Felis catus (domestic cat). It matches the Rfam family "tRNA". From Rfam's summary of the family: Transfer RNA (tRNA) molecules are approximately 80 nucleotides in length. Their secondary structure includes four short double-helical elements and three loops (D, anti-codon, and T loops). RNAcentral also lists the same sequence under 4 other names. Lineage: Eukaryota; Metazoa; Chordata; Mammalia; Carnivora; Felidae. The record is from Rfam by way of RNAcentral.
GCCUGAGUGGCUGAGUUUGGUUAAGCGUCUGAUUUAGGCUCAGAUUAUGAUCUCAAGGUUCGUGGGCUCAAGCCCCGCAUCGGGCU